ACCCAGGGCUCACGGCGGACAUUUUGAUUCACUUAGCUCCGGAGACCCUCUCCUCUCUGAGUAAUGGAGAAGAUUAGACUAGUGAUAUUACUAAUACAAUGGAUGGAGAGGGAGCAAGAGGGAGGGAGGGAUGGAGGGAGGGAGGGCCAGGUAGGAAGGAGGGAAGGAGGGAGGGAAGCCUUGGGGCUGUGACGUUGCUAACACAAUGGAGAGGGGGAAAGAGGGGAGGAAGGUGAAGGGGAGAGGGAGAGCGUAGCCUAGAUCUUGAGACGUUUACAGUACAAUGGAGAGAUUGAAGAAAGGGAGGCCGGGAUGGAGGGAUGGCUGGAGAGAGAGAGGGAAGGGAGAGUUAAGCCUUGGACUUGUGACGUUUAUAGUACAAUGGAGAGAUUGAAGAAGGGAUAGAAAGGAAGAGAGGAAAGGUUGGGUAAAGGGAAAGAGAGCUAGAGAAGAAGAGAGGAGAGUGAAGGGAUAGAAAGGAAGAGAGGAAAGGUUGGGUAAAGGGAAAGAGAGCUAGAGAAGAAGAGAGGAGAGUGAAGGGAUAGAAAGGAAGAGAGGAAAGGGAGGGAGGGAGAAGCUGAGCCUGGAGGACAUUUAAAGAGAGGGAUGAUGAAGGGAGAGAGAGGGGAAAUAGAGAAAGACAGAUGUGAGGGAAAUACAGAAAGACAGGUAGGAAGAUAUAUAGAGUGCAUUCAGAAAGUUUUCCCACAUUUCACAGCCUUAUUCUAAAAUGGAUUAAAUACUUUUUUUUCUCAUCAAUCUACACACCACACCACCGUUUUUUUUUUAAAUGUUUGCAAAUGUAUGAAAAAUAUCAAACUGAGAUAUCACAUUUACAUACGUUUUCAGACCCUUUACUCAGUGCUUUGUUGAAGCACCUUUGGCAGCGAUUAAAACCGUGCGUCUUCUUGGGUAUGACUUUCCAAGCUUGGCACACCAGUAUUUGUGGAGUUUCUCCUGUUCUUCUCUUCAGAUCCUCUCAAGCUCUGUCAGGCUGGAUGGGGAGCGUUGCUGCACAGCUAUUUUCAGGUCUUUCCAGAGAUGUUCCAUCGGGUUCAAAUCCAGGCUCUGGCUGGGCCACUCAAAGGCAUUCAGAGACUUGUCCAAAAGCCACUCCUGCGUUGUCUUGGCUGUGUGCUUAGGGUCGUUAUCCUGUUGGAAGGUGAACCUCCACCCCAGUCUGAGGUCCUGAGCCCCCUGGAGCAGGUUUUCAUCAAGGAUCUCUCUGUACUUUGCUCAGUUCAUCUUUCUCUCGAUCCUGCCUAGUCUCCCAGUCCCUGCUGCUGAAAAACAUCCCCACAGCAUAAUGCUGCCACCAACAUGCUUCACAGUAGGGAUGGGGCAAGGUUUCCUCCAGGCGUGAUGCUUGGCAUUCAAGCCAAAGAGUUCAAUCUUGGUUUCAUCAGACCAGAGAAUCAUGUUUCUGAUGGUCUGAGUGUCCUUUAGGUGCCUUUUGGCAAACUCCAAGUGGGCUGUCAUGUGCCUUUUACUGAGGAGUGGCUUCCAUAAAGGCCUGAUUGGUGGAGUGCUGUAGAAAUAUCUCAGCUGAGCUCCAUUUCGAGUCUCAUAGCAAAAGCUCUGAACACUUAUGUAAAUAAGGAAAUGUACGACCUGGAGUACACCGGCCUUCUCUGCUAUGGAGGUUAAUAUACCAUAUAAACAUUUCUAUAUUCAGCUGUGGCGCUGGAUUUAGAGUCAAGUGGUUGAAGACUCUCUCAUGCUCUCCUUAUGUCUUUAUCAUCACACUGG
Molecule: long non-coding RNA, 1749 nt
Filed under: Salmo salar (Atlantic salmon)
Lineage: Eukaryota; Metazoa; Chordata; Actinopteri; Salmoniformes; Salmonidae
Description: lncRNA (ENSSSAG00000094558.1)
Source: RNAcentral